Molecule: unclassified non-coding RNA, 1335 nt
Filed under: Orussus abietinus
Lineage: Eukaryota; Metazoa; Arthropoda; Insecta; Hymenoptera; Orussidae
Description: uncharacterized LOC105697399, transcript variant X2
Source: RNAcentral
AUCGCUCUUCUCGGCCAUUCUCGAGGGCUGAAGGCAGCUGAAGGCAGCUGAAGGCAGCUGAAGGCAGCUGAAGGGCUGAAGGCAGCUGAAGGCAGCUGAAGGCAGCUGAAGGCAGCUGAAGGGGCGGUCGAGCGUUCGGAAUUGGCGCCAAGGGAGAGGAACCCACCUGUUCUUUUGUUUUUUCACUCUCCGGGAAGACGUCGUUUACCCGUCGUGGCUCCCUUUCGGAUGGUCACUGCUCUCCCCAACGAAGGGUUCGCCUGGCCCGGCCCUCGCCUCCUGGAUUCGAUUCUUAUGACGCGAUCGGGAAAAUAAUCCGACACGCCGAGGCAAGGCGCCGAGGUGCCAAAACGCAGUUAGAGACGCAAUUCUGGAAGCGUGUCACGGGAGCAGAGCGCAUGUGUCCUAUCGAUCUCGGGAGUCGGGAGCCGAGGUGGCGUUCCUCUCCUCGGCAGGGAUUCAAAUUCCGUUGCAUGACUCUCAUUGCGUGACUCUGGGGGAGACUGCGAGACGAUAUUGGGACCCGGGAUCGAAGGCAAGAAAUAUUCUUACAUUCUAUUCCUUCCGGGAAGACUCGUUGGCCGGAUAUUAUAUAUAUAUCUUUGGCUUUCCGAGAUGUUUGGAUCUCCUUCCGGGUCGAUCGGCAGAGGCGGAACACGAGAGCUGGAUUGCUUUAUAUUUAGGCCAGGAAUCACUCUUCGUACUAUUUCUGGGCUAGCCUCGAUUAAGAAUUUCGUUAUCCGAAAACACUCGAGCCGAAUUCACUGAGUAGAUUAUCCGAAUGCUAGCGUAUGGUCCGGUGAUAUCGCGGAUAAGAGUGAUAGUGCACUCUUCGAGUACGACCGGUAUUCGCGGAUUCCACUAACCGUGGUUAUCGAAAUCACGGACUCGUUCGCUGAAAAAAAUGAGCGUAACCUUUUUUUCUUCUUAUCCGGCGGUCUUCGAUGUCGAGGCAACUGUGCGCGAUUCCACCUGGACAGAAGUUGAAGAUGAUACCGAAACCGUGGAACCUCCACCAGUUGAGCUCCCACCUCCACCUUCAGCACCUCCGCUGCCGCCAGUUAACUCCCUCCGAGUCUGUCCGCUUCGCUUUAUCUACUUCCCUCUAAUGUGUUAUCGACAGACUUCGAAAUGAGUGGCCGCGAAGAGGCUUAGGGAAACUGGCAACCGGUAGCUCCGAUAUGUAUUCCUAGAAUGGAUAAGAUAUGUAAGUCAAUUAUAAAAUUCAAACACAGCGAACGUUCCGAUUACACUACGUAGAGUGCACUUGCAAUGAAAAGUUUAUUAAUAUCGCAAGGAGGAAUGAUUAAUGAAAUAAAAGUAGCAUAAACAAUA